GUGAGGAAUUUUCCGCAAUGGGCGAAAGCCUGACGGAGCAAUGCCGCGUGAAGGAUGAAGGCCUAUGGGUUGUAAACUUCUUUUCUCAGAAAAGAAUUAUGACGGUAUCUGAGGAAUAAGCAUCGGCUAACUCUGUGCCAGCAGCCGCGGUAAGACAGAGGAUGCAAGCGUUAUCCGGAAUGAUUGGGCGUAAAGCGUCUGUAGAUUGUUUAAAAAGUAUUCUGUCAAAGAUUAGGGCUUAACCCUAGAUAGGCAGAAUAAACUUUUAAGCUAGAGUUUGGUAGAGGCAGAGGGAAUUCCCGGUGGAGCGGUGAAAUGCGUAGAUAUCGGGAGGAACACCAAAGGCGAAGGCACUCUGCUGGGCCAAUACUAACACUGAGAGACGAAAGCGAGGGGAGCAAAUGGGAUUAGAAACCCUAGUAGUCC
This 426-nucleotide ribosomal RNA is filed under the name uncultured bacterium. RNAcentral's name for it is "partial 16S ribosomal RNA". It matches the Rfam family "Bacterial small subunit ribosomal RNA", at positions 354 to 796 of the family's 1533-position model. The record is from RNAcentral.